RNAcentral lists this long non-coding RNA (5234 nucleotides) under Phocoena sinus (vaquita). RNAcentral describes it as "lncRNA (ENSPSNG00000014098.1)". Lineage: Eukaryota; Metazoa; Chordata; Mammalia; Artiodactyla; Phocoenidae. The record is from RNAcentral.
UACGUGGUAGGAAUUAUCAGAGAGUAAAGCUUGUAGCAGGAAAAUUUGAAAGGUUUUGAGAGAUUCUGAAGAAAGAAGCAGGCACUUUCUGAAUCAGUGUACAGACGUCAACAUUUGAUCAAAUUACUACUACCUCUUCCCCAUUGUUGGUGUUCACUUGAUAUAUAUGUGUUUAAGAAAAUUAAAAGUAUGGGAUAUUUGUCCAGCAUAUCAGAAAGUCGUAAAUGCUAUGUCUGGUAUCCAGAGCUUGGCAGUAAAAGUUUCUUGUGUUCACUGUCUCUCCCUUUUUUAAGUUAGCAUUAGAAAAAUGCAAAACCUCAUACCUUGAAAUAUAUUUUUCCUAAUGGGGUUCCCUUCCUUUUGCACAUAUUUUUCCCCUUAUUAAAGUCAGCUCUAACCCCGAAUUAAAGUAUCAAAGUAUUUUCAUUAUAUAGAUAAAGUUAGUUGGAAAAUAUGUUUUUAUUAGUUUUAUUCAGAGCUGCCAUUCUUUUUAGUCAUUUCUGUGCCUAGAGAUGAGUAGUCCUGCAUUUGAAGCCACACCCACAGAUAUGAUAUGCUUCGUACUCUAGGCCAAGGAUUUAUUGGUAAGUUGAACUUUUUAGCAUAGUCAUUAUGAUUUUCAGCUGCCUAGACAUCGGGUAAACACCAUUCAGUACACUAAAGAAACUGUCCUUGACUCUCUCCCACUCCCACCUAUUUUUCCUCACCCCCUUUUCAAAAAUUGAAAACACUAUGAGUGUCUUUUUCAGACCAUAAGGCAGACUUUAGUAGCUUUCUACUUCUGUAACUAAAUGGCAUUUUAAACUUUUAUAGAAUACAUUGUGUUGGACACUGGAAUAAUACUGUUUAUUUUCACCUGUGAAAAAUUACUUUAUUGUACUUGAAACACCUCCUUUGCAUUUCUCCAUUUGUGCCAUUCACUAGUGGAAAUAAAUUGUAUUAUACCAUAAUCUACUGGCUUUUAAAAACUGUGUUAAAUAUGCACAUUUUUGGUAUAGUUAUUAUCAUUUGUAUGUAUAUAUUGUAUAUACAUAUGAGUGUCUAUAUGUGUGUAUAGAUUGAUGAAUAUAAUUCAUACUGUACAUUUCCAUCAGGGCACUUAAGGUUCUGUUAUUUUGUUUCAUUAUUUUAGUCCUCAGUUAAGGCAAGAAUGCAUGUGUUUCUUAACAAUGAGUACUCUGGGUUGAUAUUUAUGAGAAGGUGGUCAUUAGAUGCAAUCUUUUCUAUUUUAAUCCCCUCUUAGCACUUGAGUGGGUGGAAAGAAAGUUAAGUAAAAUGUGGAACCAUAAGUUGCAAUGCAGUAAAAUAGUGCUGGGGAAGGAGCCAGUUAGUGUUUCUGUGAGUUUGUGUCAUGAUGCAAUGAAAGAUAGGUGAUGCAGAGAGAAAUGAACCAUGGAAACUAAAAACACUGGUGGUGAUUCCUCUGCAAAGAUAAAAAGAACCAAUAAGUCACAUAAUCUUCAUGUGCACUCCAUGCAUAUUUCUUAGUAGUGGUGCCAUUGAUCCUCUUACCCUUUUUACUCCAUUGAUAAUAAUUAUUAUAAAUUUUGCUAAGGACCAAAACAUCCAAGAAAGGAAUUACUGCUAAAGCAUCUAAGGUUCUCCUAAACUAUAAAAUCAACAGGAAAUGGCCACUGGGAGAGAAGGAUUUGGUAUUGGCAAGGGGCUUUCUCCUUUUAGCUGCCUCUUCUUGCUUGCUAAUAGUAAGUUCUUCAUGCACCUUCCACCCCUUCGGAGGCACUACUUUUCAAGCACAGAUUUGGCCCAACACUGCAACCCUUUCCUAAGUAGUUUAUAUGGCCCUGCGUUUUGUUCCAUGCUCACAAUGUGAAGUGUCUAGUGUAUAUUCCAGUCAGAAAAUAAUAUAUUUAAGGUGUAUAAGUGUGAAUCUCCUAUAAUGAUGGAAGAGGAGGCUCUUACUUCUUAGAAAACUGCUUUCUCUAAGGAACAAAUCUAAAACUUGGGCUGUCAUCUUGGAGCUGCUUACCAAAAUACAGAUCCUUAUUAAAGAGAAACAAAUUCUGUUUUCCCUCAUCUAUCAUGAUAGUGCCCCCCAACCAGGUUGUAGCAUUGCCUAUUAAAAGGCACUCACUUACUCUUAGUUGUUAAGAACUGGAAAUUUUCCAUCCUCAGAUUCCUUAAAGGAUGAAAAGUGUGCUGUACACUUAGCAGACUUGCCUCUUGUAUGCAAGGACUACUGAUUGAAGUCUAUUUUGCUGUGUGUCUGGUUAUGUUGUCUGCACUUUUAUUAAAUCACUACAGUAAGUCUACAUUGGAAGUGACUUAAUUUGUAAAGAAGUUUUAUUAAACACUGUCUAGAAAAAGAAAGUGAAGCUGAGAACUCUUCCUUUAUUGUGCAUUUAUAUUUUCUACUGAAUUCUGGUAGCCCCCUUUAAAGUCACAUUAACUAAUUCUUCCCUUGUUUAUAUUCAGAUUUCCAAAAUUUCACUCAUGCAAGGGAAGAGAAUCUAUUUGGCCUAAUGGUAGUCUUCAGAUCAUAAGAAAUAUGUAAAUUAGCAUGCACCUUAUCUGCCUGUUGUGGGUUUCUUAAACUUGCACUUCCCUCUCACGCACCCCCAAAUAGAUAUCCUUUAAAGAAAAUAAAGGCAGAGAAUUAAAACUGGGGAGCCAUUUACUAUGUCACCAUCACUGUUAACUGUUACCCAGCAAUCAGAACUUUUUGAAGUUUCAGAGCUUGUGUGUGUGUGUGUUUAUCUGUUUGAUUGUGUUGGGUUUGUUUUGUUUUUAAAUGUACAAGAGAGUCUUCUUUAAAUAGAGAAAAAGGUUAAUCCUCUCUGAAACAGGAUGCCCAUUGGAUAUACUAAUCUGGACAUCUGUAGGUAGUUUGCCAUGAAAAAGUAGAGAGAAGAUGAGACUUGUGAAUGAAUGAAAAGGGUAUCUUGAUACCCCAGAAUUCCCCCUAAAUUACGGGUAAUUCAACCUGCACAGUUUCCUUUUCACUCAUAGUUUUUAGCAAUUGUGAGUGAAGAAAUCAUGUAAUUAUCUGUAAAUAUUUAGCUAACAAAUUGACCUAGUUUCUGUAUUUUUUUGUUUUUGUACUAAAGUUUAUAAGUCUGUGCCAGCUAGAGAGGAGUUGCUGUCAUUGCCAGUUGUGGUCCUAGCAUCUAACCCUGAAACCAUCCUAGGUAACAUUUUUAGAAUUAAUGCUUCAGUGUUGUUAAACAGGGAGAAAUUAAGCUCAACCAUUGGUCAGGUUUAAAAUCUUUUGAAGCAAAGUCAUUUUAUUUAAUACAAUGAUUACAUGUCCUCAAUCAUGAAUGAGGUAGGGAACCUCCCUCCCCCAGUGGCCAUGUUUACAGAAGUGUGUUUUGUCUAUAAAGUGCAAGGGUUUUAAUGUUUAUGUAAAUUAUGCAGGUGAUAACAUUAUGGCUUGGAAUUGUUUAUUGGGCUCUCGCUGAAUUUUCAAAUGAAAUGAACUAUGCUUAAUUACUGGCACAUUGAUCCCAUUUCUGGAGCAUUUUCCUAUUUCCAGAAUUACAUGUAUUCCUUUGUCAAUCCUUUGACAAUUCCUUUGUCAUUAAAGCUGGUAAACAUAGAUGAGGGAAUUGCAUUUUUUUAAAAUCCAUGAACCUUCAUUUGUAUGCCUUCAUUACUCAUGUUUCUUUGGCAACUCUGAGGUCAGUGAAGUUUAGAAAUGAGAUACCAGUGUUAAUGAAAAGUGUGUACUCUUUGCUUUUGCAUGGCUUGGCUUAGCAUCAAGGGUAUAUUUGGGCCACUUGAAAGCAUGAAGACCAGUUGUAUGGGAACAGGUUUCUCUCAGUGGCACAUUUUGCUUUUUCUGAGCCCUCAAAUACAUUGCCUCAGCAUGAACAUUAUUGUUUCUAUAAAUUACACAUGGUCAUGGAAUGAAUUAUGUGAUUUAAAAGGAUGGAACUGCUUAAUGUUUGCAGAUUCCAGCUGGCCAUGUGACUAUUGGGCACAUAUCAAACAAACCUGGGGGGAAAUAUUGGAACCCUUCUAACCCUUUUUUGGUCAUAGACAAGUAUAUUUAGUUUAUUAAGAUGUUGGCUGCCCCUGGUAUGUUGCCAGAAAGCUCUUUUUUGGUGCCUAUUCCAAAUGUGCUUUCUUGCAUUUCAUAAUAUCAAAGAAACCACCACCCCUUCUUCCCAGCAGCAUUUUAUGUCAGACCUUUUAUUCCACAUUAAAUGGGAGUUGUGCCUACUUAGAGUGCCCCUCCAAUUAAUUACAUACACGUGUCCUAAAAUAAUCCAAGCAGGAGACACAGGUAGGAAAAUUUUUUUUAGGAAGUCCACUUGAGGCCAGUAAUCUGUCUGACAAGGUAUUUUACCACGUUAUCUUGCCACUUGAUAAAUGAGCCUAUUAGGAAUUGCAGGUGGUUUCAUAGGGCAAAAUCCAAGUAGAGAGGGAUAUGUGGGAUUUCUAUUAAGAGAUAAUUUUGUUAUUGUUUUACCUCUCCUUUUAUGAUCCUUCUCUGCUAGGUUAGAGUGGGUUAAUUCUCCAAAUUUAUUUUGUUUUUUAUUUUUUAGGGAAAUUUUUACAAAAGUGAUGGUCUGAUGUAAAUAACAUUUUGAAGUAUAGUGCACAUAAGUUCCCGAGACUAUUUCAACCUGAUAAUUUGUAAAUGCUUUAGAGUUUUUUUCAUUAACACUUGUGUUGCUAAAUCCUAUUUAUAUAAGUCUGCUAAAAAUUUUAACCCAUUUAAAACUUAAACAUUUAAAUAAUGGGUGAGUUACUCUGAGCAAUUUAGCUUUCAAAACCCCCUUGUUUUAGUACAUGAAAAAGAUAGCCUAAUGCGCAUUAAUGAGGUUGGAGAGACUAUGAGAAAUAUGUAUAGUGUAUAUUUUAAAACAGCUUUGCUUGUAUUGUGAAGAUUUAAAAACAAACUUGAGAUUUUUAACGUAACUAUUAACACAGUUUUAACAUAAGUUAUCCCACUGGGUUUAAGAGCAUCUUGAAUGUAUAAUCCUUUUUGUAACCCAGGUUGGUUUCUGCUUUUACCAGUCAUCCAAACAUAUUAUUUAUGAUUUUAGUUUUAUAUACUCAUUUACUUUUGUUUUCCUCAACCAGCAUGAUUUUUUUGCACAUGUAUUGUAGAAAUUUUUAAAAAGAAACAUCAGUACAUCAUUUUCUCUGGAUUUUCUUCACUUCUCUUCCUUUCUACUAACCCAUUACCUUAAAGGCCAUAUCACUCCAUUUGCAUUAUUUGUGCAAAUGCCAGGGUUGGUUUUUAUUUUUAUUUUUGCUAUUUACCU